AUACCUUUCUCGGCCUUUUGGCUAAGAUCAAGUGUAGUAUCUGUUCUUAUCAGUUUAAUAUCUGAUACGUGGACCAUCGGUCCACAUGAUAUUAAAUUAAUUUUUUUAGGGAGAGGGUUCACCACAAUAGCUUGCUAUUGGAACUCUUGCGCGUCGCCCAUGCGUUGCACUACUGCACGGGCCUGGCGCAUCCCUC
Vitis vinifera (wine grape) is the source of this 196-nucleotide small nuclear RNA. It matches the Rfam family "U2 spliceosomal RNA". Rfam says of the family: U2 is a small nuclear RNA (snRNA) component of the spliceosome (involved in pre-mRNA splicing). Complementary binding between U2 snRNA (in an area lying towards the 5' end but 3' to hairpin I) and the branchpoint sequence (BPS) of the intron results the bulging out of an unpaired adenosine, on the BPS, which initiates a nucleophilic attack at the intronic 5' splice site, thus starting the first of two transesterification reactions that mediate splicing. The record is from Rfam. NCBI's taxonomy places the organism in Eukaryota, Viridiplantae, Streptophyta, Magnoliopsida, Vitales, Vitaceae.